GCUUGGGUGGCUCAGUUGGUUAGAGCGCAGGUCUCAUACGUUAGUAUGACGUUCAGACACUGAACGGUAAUCCUGAGGUCAUGAGUUCGAAACUCAUCCCGAGCA
RNAcentral lists this transfer RNA (105 nucleotides) under Fibroporia radiculosa. It matches the Rfam family "tRNA". Rfam says of the family: Transfer RNA (tRNA) molecules are approximately 80 nucleotides in length. The record is from Rfam by way of RNAcentral. Lineage: Eukaryota; Fungi; Basidiomycota; Agaricomycetes; Polyporales; Fibroporiaceae.